RNA transcript from Cuculus canorus (common cuckoo), 11378 nucleotides. It is a transcript of the gene named cell cycle control protein 50C, with no coding region annotated. The transcript has 8 exons. The record is from RefSeq and is a predicted model, not a curated record. NCBI's taxonomy places the organism in Eukaryota, Metazoa, Chordata, Aves, Cuculiformes, Cuculidae.
GUGGAUGGUAGGGAAUGGAUGCAUUUUUUUCAGAGGGCAAGAUGGGAUAGAGAUGGAGGUGAACAAUUCAUCAGCCUCUUGGAGUGGCAUUGGUGUAAAUCAGAUGUUUUGAGAAUGAGUUGCCUUUUUGUGCUGAAGAACACGUAAUGUUUUUACAGCUUUAAUUGAUCCUGAAUCAAUAGCAAUGGAUGUAGUAGGUUAGGAAGACUGAUUUGGUUCCAAAGCAAUGUUUUCUGCCCGAUGCUGUCUCAGCACCUGCAGUUCUCCCCAGUGGUAUCCAGUGCAAUUUGAGCAGAGCUGCUUUCAUUGUGUGCCAUGUCUGCUAGCUGGGCAGUAAAGGAAGAAGAAACAAUGCAUCUGAAAGUACACGAAUUCCAGUAUAGCUGGCAGUACCCCUGCAAAUGAAUAAGACACAACAAAUCCUAGUGAAUUGCAGGGCAGGAAAAAGCAUAUAUUUAAGCUUUUCCAGGAGGCAUGAGCUGGGCACCCUAACCAAAGUACACAAUUGUUUGAUUGGUACAAGCUGAUCAUGAGGAUCCAGGUACAAAUGUAGAAAAGGAGGAAGAGAGAGAUCUAGUUAAUGAGUAAUUCAUGGCCGUAAUGCAGGUUUGAACAAACAAUACAGUCUCUCAACAGUAAGGACAGUAUCUCAGCUUAAACUCUCUCCAGUGCAAGUAUCUUACUUCUUCCCACCAAGAAGAAAAUGAAAAACAAGACAAGCUUUCUUCCACAAGAAGGAGAGGCACAUCCUUCCAGAUGUCCAGAUAACACUGCAUUCAAACAACAAAAGCUACCAGCUUGGAAGCCUCAGCUUACCAUUGCAAGUGUGCUCUCCAGCUUCUUUCUCAUAGGCGCGUUCUGCCUUGCUGUGGGAGUCUGCCUCAUACUGUCUGCAAACAGCGUCAGAGAAAUCCAGAUUGAUUAUUCAGAUAAAUGCUCAGAUUGUUCAAAACUCCGUGAAAAUUCCUCUAAUUGGAGUAAGGAAUGCCACUGUUCUGUUAAUUUCACGCUAAAGGAAGAUGUAUUGGAUGAUGUUUUUAUGUACUAUGGCCUGCAAAACUUCUAUCAAAACCACCGUCGAUAUGUGAUAUCAAGAAGUGAUGCACAAUUGUUGGGUCGAAAUGUAAAUAUUCAGAAGAGCUACUGUGCACCCUUUGCCACAUACCGAAAUGGGACGCCCAUGGCUCCCUGCGGUGCUAUUGCCAACAGUAUGUUCAAUGAUACUAUUGAUCUUUUUUACAAUCUUAAGUCAUAUGCUAUUCAAGUACCACUGCUGGAGACUGGAAACAGUUGGUGGACAGAUAAAAAUGUGAAGUUUCGCAAUCCAAAUUCAUACAAUCUCUCUUCUGCAUUUGCAGGGACAGCAAGACCUCCUUACUGGCAGAAACCAGUAUAUAUGUUAGACAAAGAAGAUGAAAGGAACAACGGUUAUUUAAAUGACGACUUCAUUAUCUGGAUGCGAGUGUCAGCCUUUGCUACAUUCAGAAAUCUUUACCGUCGUGUCAAACGGGUAGGGCGGUUUGCGGAUGGCCUCCCAGCAGGAAAUUACACUUUUCGUAUUUCCUACAAUUUCCCUGUUACCAAAUUCAAGGGAAGGAAACAUGUGAUUCUUUCAACUGUGGUAUGGAGUGGAGGAAGCAACCCAUUCCUGGGAAUUGCCUACGUGGUUUCUGGCACAGCAGCAACCCUGACGGGUUUUGUCAUAGCUGCCAUCCACUUAAAACUCAGAAAAAAGAAAACAUAUUUUCAGAAGUAAUAAAGUUUCCUGGCUUUCUGAACAAAGGCAGAGGUGUGCUGUGAACAAAGAAUAUGCAGCACAGACCUCUCAUUCUUUCCCCUGAGCUCUGGAUCUUUAUCAGUAACAGGUUUGGUGAAAGUAAGCAAACAGAGGGGCAGUGCUCUUUCAUCAUCCAAAACCAAACUUAACCGACAUUUCAUUCUUACUAAUUUAUGUGUGCUCCUAAAUUUGUUUCCUAGGAAGCUUAUAGUGAGAUGAACUUCAAACAACAGAUAGCAUAGUUGGUUGGAAUUACAAUGCAAAGAAAUUAUAUUAUACUGAUGUCUGGCCAAAAGCAAGGAUCUCAUUCAUUUCUUACUCAUCCCUUAAUUCAGACAGUGUUUCUCUUGACUUAAGUGGGGCUUUGGGUGCGUAAAAGGUGAGGUCUUGAUGCAACAAAAAGCUUGAUCAGGUAGAAAUUGGUGCUAAAAUCUGUUUGUGGGUCACAUGCAUAGGCUGAAUAGCUUGGCUUACGUUUUACACAUCUUUUUCAGCUGUCCUGAAAAAGCAACAAAUUUAGUGUAGCAUAUUCAUCACAGUUUGAUACUUGAUAUAUGAGUGAACACAGUGCAUUUUUUAGGAGUUUGAUUAAACCAAAUUUAUUGUUUUUAUCUAGGUACUGAGUCUAACCUACAAAGUUGGAGGGCAACAAAACACUGAUUGACAUUUUUGAAAUAAUGACUUAAAAGAAGACUUACAUUAAAAACUCCUUUAAUACUAAACAUUUUGGCAGAAACAUCUUCCUAAUGCAGCUCUUAGGCCGCAAUUGCACUCCUGUGGACUUCACCCUUCCAUGCAAAAUUUGACACUGUUACUGUUUCAGUGUUAUGUAAUGUCUCUUGCCUUGUCAAGCCCCCAUUUUUGUGGUGUGGUGACUUGUUGUUAGUAGGAAACAAAGCAGCAGAAAAUCUGUCAAUUUUAAUAAAGUAAACACUGCAGCUCAGAAAUAAGCUUGUCAAUUUUACACGUUUAGAAGUUAUUUCCAGUAUCUCACAAAAUGUAGGAACAGCACUGACGAAUGUAGAUGAGGUAGAUUGUGGUACAUCCAAACAUUCUUAAAUCAUUUUUCUGUUGGAAAAGUGCAAAUGGAAUAAAACAUUUUAAAUUAAUUCUUUUGAUAAAUAUUCUGUGUGCCUAACCUCCCCACAGCUCAAAAAGCACUCUGCACUAAUACAAGGAAAUCACACUGUAAAGGAAGAGAAAGGAAUGUGGGACAGGGAGGCUGCGUGCCACUGUCAAGAGCACCCACAUCUGCUUUUAGAAGUGUCUCAGGCACUUAUGAGCCUCUGCUUCAUGCUUAGAAGAGAUGCGAACCAUCUAAGGCUAUACUCAAGCAAAGGCUCAACACAGGCAAGAAGGAGUGCCAGGUGAGCAUUUUUUUAACUACAUGAAUGAAGAUCUUCUGAAAAUAUUUGUAUUUGAACUGCAGAACCUGAAAAUAGUGAUUUUGUCAAAUAUUUAGAAUCAUAGAAUCAUGGAAUAGUUAGGAUUGGAAGGGACCUUAAAGAUCAUCUAGUUUCAACUCCCCUUUCAUGAGCAGGGACAUCCCACCGGACCAGGCUGCCCAAGGCCCCAUCCAACCUGGCCUUGAACACCUCCAGGGAUGGGGCAGUCACAGCUUCACUAGGCAACCCGUGCCAGUGUCUCACCACUCUCAUGGUGAAGAAGUUCUUCUUAACGUAUAGUCUAAAUCUGCCCCUCUCCAGUUUAUACCUGUUGCCCCUGGUCCUAUCACCAUAAGCCUUUGUGAACAGUCUCUCCCCUGCUUUCUGGUAGCCCCUUUCAGGUACAGGAAGGUUGCUGUAAGGUCUCCUCGGAGCCUUCUCUUCUCCACGCUGAACAAUCUCAGCUCUCUCAGCCUGUCCUUGUAUGGAAGGUGCUCCAGCCCUCUGAUCAUCCUUGUAGCCCUCCUCUGGACCUGUUCCAACACCUCCAUAUCCUUCUUGCAUUGAGGAUUCCAGAAGUGGACACAGUAUUCCAGAUGAGGUCUUAUAAGAGAGGAAUAGAGGAGCAGAAUCACCCUGCUGGCCACGCUUCUUUUGAUGCAGCCCAGGAUACAGUUGGCGUUCUGCGCUGCGAGUGCACAUUGCGGGCUCAUGCUGAGCUUCUCAUCCACCAGCACCCCCAAGUCCUUCUCUGCAGGGCUGCUCUCAACCACAUCAUCCCUCACUGUGCAGACAAAACAGGGAUUGCCCCAACCCAGGUGCAGGACUUAAACACUUGGCCUUGUUGAACCUCAUGAGGUUCUCAUAGGCCCACUUCUCCAGUCUGUCCAGCUCCCUCUGGAUGACAUCCCAUCCUUCCGAUGUGGCAACACUCAGCUUGAUGUCAUCCACAAACUUGCUGAGAGUGCACUCAAUCUCACUGUCAAUAUCAUUGAUAAAGAUAUUGAACAGCACCGGUCCCAGUAUGGACCCUUGAGGGACACCACUCGUCAUGGAUCUCCACCUGUACUUGGAGCCAUUGAGCACUACUCUUUGAAUACGACCAUCCAGCUAGUUUCUUAUCCAUCGGACCAUCCACUCAUCAAAUCCAUAUCUCUCCAAUUUAGAGAGAAGGAUGUCAUGCGAGACUGUGUCAAAGGCUUUACAGAAGUCCAGAUAAAUCACAUCCGUCAGUUUACCCAUGUCCACUGCUGCGGUUACCCCAUCAUAGGAAGCCACCAAGUUGGUCAUACAGGACUUGCCCCUGGUGAAGCCAUGCUGGCUGCCAUUAAUCACCUCUCUGUCCUCCAUGUGCUUUUGUAUAGCUUCUAGGAGGAUCUGUUCCAUGCUCUUCCCAGGCACAGAGGUGAGGCUGACAGGUCUGUAGUUCUCAGGGUUGUCUUUUCUACCCUUUUAAAAAAUGGACAUGACGUUACCCUUCUUCCAGUCACCAGGGACUUCUCCUGACUGCCAUGACUUCUCAAAUAUCAUGGAGAGUGGUUUGGCAACCACAUCUGCCAAUUCCCUCAGGAUUGUGGGAUGCAUCUCAUCAGUUCCCAUACUUAUAUAUGUUCACGUUCCUUGGGUGUUUGCAAACCUGAUCCUCCUCUACUGAGGGAGGGUGUCUACCCCGCUGGUCACUAUCUUGCUGUCCCACAACCCAAGAGGGGUGAGGAGAGUGGUUGUUGGUGAAGACUAAGGCAAAAUUUGUUAAGUACCUCAGACUUCUCCUCGUCAGUUGAUACAUGAUCCCCGUUUCCAGUCAUCAGUGGGGAUACGUUCUCUUUGAGCUUCCUCUUUUGAUUGACGUACCUGUAGAAGCCCUUCUUGUUGGUCUUCACUUCCCUUGCCAAGUUCAGCUCCAGCUGCACCUUGGCCUUCCUGACUUCAUCCCUACACAACCAGGCAGCAUCUCUAUACAUGUCCCAGGUUCCCUGUCUGUGUUUGCACUGCCUGUGCAGUUCCUUCUUUCUUAGUUUAACCAGCAGGUCUCAACUCAGCCAUGCCAGUCUCUUCCCUUUCCUGCCUGAUUUUCUGCAAACAGGGACUGAGUGCUUUUGUGCCUUGUGGAAAGCGUCCUUAAAUAUUUUCCAGCUCUCUUCUGCUCCCUCUGAAGACCAUGUCCUGGGUGGUCCUACCGAGUAAUUCCUUGAAUAGCUGGAAGUGUGCUUUCCUGAAAUUUAGUGUCCUGGCUAUAGUCCUCACCUGUCUCAUAUCCCUCUGGACCUUGGACUCCACCAGUGCAUGAUCACUGCAGCCCAGGUUGUCUCCGAUCCUAACGUCACUGAUGAGUUCGCUUGUAUUGGUGACCAUCAGGUCCAGUUGUAUCUCCUUGGGUAGGAGUCUUUAUCAGCUGGACUAAGAAAUUAUCCUCAAUGCACUCUAGGAGUCUCCUGGAUUGCCUACAGCUUGCAGUGCUACUUUUCCAGCAUAUUUGUCUCACAAUGCAAAAAGUAAGAGACAAAAACUCCUUAAAAUAGUAUAAAAUUCGAUAGACAGCUCCUCGGAACUCUUCUGUGUUGAUCUGCUGCAUCCAAGAUCCUGCAGAAAUCUGAGGUUUCAUAAAGAGUUAAUUUUCCCUAGGAAAAAAACCUAAAGUAUAAUAGUGUUGUUCCCGCAGGAAAACAGCUUUCUCGUAGCCCUCUUUGUUUUUACCAGCAAAGUAAUUCAUCACCAGUUAUCUUUGAGGUUAACUGUGUGGGAACUCAUUGUAGGCAGCUUUAUUCAUACUGGAUUGUGUGGCUGUUUGUUUCAUUAUUGCAUGAGUUUAAAAUCUGGUGCAGAUGCAAAAAACGUUAAAACUUUUGGAAUAAUAAAUAAUGACUUUAGUCUCUUGAUACUGACAAAUUUAGUAUCUGCCACUGCCUGGAGUGGAAAUGCUGCCAGUGGAGGUCUAGUUUUAUGAGAGAAGUUUGGUUUAAUAAUCAGCGUGGUUUUGUUUGCUUUGUGUAGGAGACCAGUUCUUUGUGUACAUGGAUUCAUCUUCUACUGUAUUGAUAAAAGGCUAUAAAAUAUACAUAGAAGCAUCAAUUGUUUUUAUUUUGCUGUGAAAAUAUAACUGAAACAUCAUUGGUUAUAAUCGUCUGAUUGGAACUGGAAUUUUGUUAAGGUUUUCUCCUUUACAUCAAAGUACUGGAUUUUGAUCCCAUUUAAUUUGGGGAAAUGAAGGUAUCUGUCAAAAUAACACUGCGUCGUGGUUUGCUGUGAUUACUAAAAAGCUGGGCUGGAAGACAACUCUGAGAAUUCUGGAAAUCCACGGUGCUGGAAGAUUGGUUUCAGUGUUUGAUGUUAACCAACUGCCCCAUGCAAUACCUGCUUAUAAAUACCUUCAGGAAUGUAAAAUAAUUAGGCAGCUGACCAUCUAGACUAGGAAUGGAAGGACUGAUAUUAGGUAGGCACGAAAGAAAGAGUGACAAUAAAAACCAACUGGGACUUAGCAAGCGCGUACACACACAACGUCCACCAAAACAACCAAACUUCUAGAGGUUUAAGUUACAAGCUUCCUUGGAGCCUGUUUUAUUUUCAGCCCUGCCAUACAACUGCUUUGGGUGCAUUCUGAGAUCUAAUUAAUCCAGUGGUGUGUUGGACCCUACCCCACCAAAGUCAGUAUGGGAGCUUCCCUACAUCGACCUAACUCUAUGUUGGGGAUGUAGCUGCUGUUGGGAGAGGGGAUGUCCUCAACAAAAGCGUCACUUACUUGAACCCUUAGAAAAUUAAUGGAUGCAAGAGCAGGGGAGGGGUGAGCUCGCUUUUUUGUGUGGGCUAUACCUGAAGGGUUUGUCAGGGAAAGCUGCUCUUCACUAGUGAUUAAUGAACUGUUAAUAGUGUUUGAAUGUCUGAAAUAAUUCUGUCUUGAAUAAUUUACCAUCGUGAAAUUUAUCUAGUAGGAUCAAAUGCUAUUUACUGUAAGGAUGUGGUGCAUGCUUAGUUAUAUGGUGUGUAUUGUGCCAGAUAUGACUCAAGACAGGAUGCUGAGCAAUUCUUUGAGGAAAGUAGCAUGAGGUCUUCUUGCCCACUUGUCUGAAGGAAGAUGAUUUUCCAGGAUUCUAGCUAAAAUGCUCUUAUGUGGGCUGAGAACUAUGAACUCGGUUCUGGCUACCUUUACAUUAAUGAGGUUUUGGACCAGUGUGAUGCUUUCUUGUUGCAUGAAACCAUGGCUGGGAAAUCUCUUAAAGUUAGGAAAUAUUUAUUUGAGCUUUACUGAAAAAUGCAAGUUUUUGCUCCAAAUGAAUCAGUCGUCUUGGGCAGGAAGAGACAUUGGAGUAAGCUACCUUAUAAUAUAGAUGGCUUGGGGACUUCCUUUGGGAUGCAAUUUUUUUCUCCAUAUAAUUUUUUUUCCAAAAUUGUCAUCAUAAAACCUGAAGAAAAUAGCAGUCUUGUUUGCAGUAUUUUUCCUGAGUGUCUGGGGAAUAGUCUAAUUUUUGUUCUGCAAAUGCAAUCCAGAAUAUAUUCUAUCAUAGCUGUUUUAAAUGCAUAAAUAAGUUAACAUUUUUGUGUGUUUUAUGAUGCUGUUCUUAUAUAGACGACUACUUUGCAUUCACAGCAGGAGCUAAGAACAAAUCUUGAAUCUCAGCAAGAUUCCUGAGAAUAAGAAAUUUUCAGUGCUCUGUCACAGAGGGAACAAUACAUCAAAUACCAGUUCAAGACAGGUACUGUUUUCACGUCUGUAUGCACUCCUGUUUAAGGCACUGUUACCUGCUGGACUGCAGUGAAUGUAAAUUAUACAUUCCUGUUUCAGUUCCCAUGUAAAUUACACUGAGCUCCCUAAAGCGCAGAAAGACUUAUCAAUUUUCAAAAGAACUGGAGCAAAAGGAGAGAGUCAGUUAAGGCAAAACAAAUACAGACAUCAUAAACCUCCUGUGUUCCUGUGAUGUAGGCCUUUCAUGCUGGUGAUAACUGUCUGCUGCUCUCCACCGAGUCUGUCAUCUUUACAACACCCUUUCUUAGCUUGGAUGGUAGAAUUUGAAAUGUAGAUGAUCAGAAAAGAACGACCUAUGUUCAUUUUUUUUCUGGUCAGUUUAUAGUGUAUUUCCUAUGACAGUAUAUGCCUGUUUUAAAGUUUUUACUUGUACUAAGGAGUUUUUCCAGUAGGUUGUCCUAUUUUCAUCGUUCCUUUAAAUUCAUUUACCCUGGUAGAGCAAACAUGACCGUUAAAAGGCUCUGUUUUCUCUACCUUUGAGGUAUGAAGGAGCAUAAAAUAUCACUAGCCUUUCUGGUUUAUUUGCAUCAGGCUCUUAAUUACUUCCUUUAUUGCCUCUUAUAGGUAUGUAUGUGUGAAACUUGUCUGCCCUUUGAGCCUAAACUACAAAAAGAACUAUGUUAAAGGUCCUCAUCACUUAAAUUUCCCUCUCUUCCAUUUUCUUUGUAGCCAUUCCUCAUUUGUUCCUAAUAAUGGCUAUGAAAAGCUUUUCCUUGUCUCUUUAAUUCACAAAAUGCAAAACAGAUAGCUUUUCAUUACUUUGGCAGCUAAGAAAUGUCAUUUAAGUGUUGAAACAAGGGUUACCUUUUAAACUGUUCCACCUGUGUUGAUAUUACAAGCCUCUGCUGAACACAGAACUUUACAGUUUCGCAGUCACGGACAGGUCAAGGAGUGUGACCAGCUUUUAAAAAUUAUUAAUAUACACAUGUGUUGUCACAGUUGUUCUGCCGCACUUUUUUUCCUAUUUGCCUCCACCUGCUUUCCUUUCCUGAGCAGAGUCGAAAGAAGCCUUGACAGAGGCGGCACUUCUGUGUUUUGCUCACACUGACUGAAAUCCUUGACUAAUUAUGGAGCUUUUACAAAUCCUUUUUUAUGAAAAGAUUCUUCUCCCUGGUAGCCAGUGGCAGGCUAAGGGGAAGUAGUCUCAAGAUGCGCUUGGGGAGAUUUAGGUUGGAUAUUAGGAGGAAUUUCUUUACUGAAAGGGUUGUAAAGCAUUGGAACAGGCUGCCCAGGGAGGUGGUUGAGUCACCAUUCCUGGAGGUGUUUAGAGGAUGAGUAGGUGCCAUACCUGGGGACAUGGUCUACUGGUAGACCUAGCAGGGCUGGAUUGAUGGUUGGACACGAUGACCUUAAAGGUACGCUGUGGGUGGUUGCUACAUCCACCUACUGCCAGAAAAUGGUAGGGUGUCACUCUAGGAGGCAGGGCAUAACCCUCAUUGUAGUAUGGUAACUCACGAAUAACGCCUGCAUUUCUAAACUAGAAAUUAAUUAGACGUAAGGUAGGUGUUAAAUGCAAACACAUUUGAGUAAUACGUAUGUACAAUUUAUUUAAAACACUUUUUAACAUACAUAUAAAAACCCCCUCACUAUUUAUACAGUCUAAGUUCUAGCAACAUAUACAAAUACUGAGCAACUACAAUACAUGCUGAGGUAAGAACAUACAUUCUGGGAGAAUACUCAAGCCAAAACAGAUUGAAAUACAUUUUAUAUCUAUAUGUCUUCACACGUAAGACUCAUUAAAAUGUACCUCUGCUUGUACUGUAUAUGGGAAAAUUCUAAUCUUAAGUGUGUCAUGCAACUUACAUUUGGGAAUCAGUGUUUUUUUGUAGCAUACACUUUAAACCCAAGUGUUGCAUGUUCAAACUGAUCUUCCUCGCCCUAGCAAAUAACACGAUCAAAGUUGAAAGGAGGGAGCAAAGCUUGGGACCAAUUUCUUUCAAAAAGGGACUUAAAUUCUUAAAACCCUCCAUUCUAGUCAACAGCUCAUGCUGCUCGGCUAACGAAACUGCAUUAUGGUUGCUUAAAAAAAUAAUCCACUAUAGCGAAACUGUUUAAUUCUUACACCAUCCUAGCCUAUAGUAUAUCCACAGUUCUAUCAUGUCUGGCCUACAGUAAAAAUUAAAUCCAGGCAUGUUAAUUUUACUGAUUUGAAUACAUUCAUUUAUUUUUAUGGUAGAUUAAUUUUUCUUAUACUAAACUUGUACAGAUUGAGAAUGCAGAGGUUUCUCAACUUAGCUGGAAUAUGUGUCACAUCUUGAUGCCAACAAAUAACCAACCUUCCACCCCUUUAAAAUAAAAUCAGUCAGAAUGAUAAUUUCGAAGUCAUAAUUACAAAGGCUUACAGUGGGUAAGAAGACACCAGUUCAAGAAAAACUACAAAGACUGCAGACUAGCUUGAUCAAGCAGAAAAAGUUGCAAUAACGUCAGAAGUACAACUAUAGGCAGGAAUUUCUUUGUAAUGAAUGGGUCUUAUUAUACCAUCCUUACGUACAUUCACAUUUAGGCUUAGACACCCAAUUCUAAACCAAAAAAUACUAGUUCUCGAUGAAUGAGAAUCAGUGGUCAAAAAAUUGUAGAAUUGGGCUCUAAGGUAGUGCAGAGUAUGUAAUAACGUAUUCUAGGUGUUGAACAGGCCACAAGUAAGUCUAGAUUAUUGAGUUUAAAUAAAGCCUUUGUGCAAACAAAUUUUCAAGUGAUAAGUUAGGAUACUGAACUGGUAUAAAGACAUGGCAACCCUCUUGAACCGUAUUUUAGUUUCAAUUUGGAUGUUCUCCACCUAGUUUAAGGACCCUGGGCAAUAAACAAGGCUGAUGUGAUUUACAUCAUAGAAACAAACAAUCACUGAAGUCCAUAAAACUGGGCUAAUGUGUAGGUAAGGGACUUCACGUGUAUAAAUUAAUUCAGCAUCCUCCCAAGAGUGCUGUUGCAAUAAAAAUAAAGCAUUUUCUACUACUUCAGUUAAAACGCUGUGCUUUGUUGCCAACAAGACAAAAAAAUGGCAAAAAUGACAGCCAAAUUGUUUUCAUUGCGUGAAUACCUUAGCUACAACUAGUCUAUGUUAUCUCAAAUAGACGACUGACUGCACUAGAGAACAUAGGAACAUUUGAAGGACACAAAUUCCAUUAAUCUCUUUGGAACAGUACUGGUUCUCUUGCAAAGGUUUUGAAAUCUUUUAUACUUCUAAUAUGAACAAUCCUAAGAAAAGCCCUAAGGCUAAAGUUUUUCAGUUGUGCUAAAACGUACCAUAUGUGCUAAAUGCGUGUAUAACACAAACUGUGCACCAUUAGAAUAUGUGUGCUUUCUUAAGCACUCACAAAAGUAUAUACAUAUCUAUCUUUGUAUAUGCUCACAUCUUAACACACAACAACAGAUACUCCAGAGGGGACAGGGAGAACCUUUCGCAAUUCAGUCACCUCAAACACCUGGGUGCUUCUUGCACAAUGACCAUCAGGGAAGUCUGAAUUCGAGGCAGACAUUU